GCUGGCGGCGUGCCUAAUACAUGCAAGUCGAGCGAACAGAUAAGGAGCUUGCUCCUUUGACGUUAGCGGCGGACGGGUGAGUAACACGUGGAUAACCUACCUAUAAGACUGGGAUAACUUCGGGAAACCGGAGCUAAUACCGGAUAACAUAUUGAACCGCAUGGUUCAAUAUUGAAAGGCGGCUUUGCUGUCACUUAUAGAUGGAUCCGCGCCGUAUUAGCUAGUUGGUAAGGUAACGGCUUACCAAGGCAACGAUACGUAGCCGACCUGAGAGGGUGAUCGGCCACACUGGAACUGAGACACGGUCCAGACUCCUACGGGAGGCAGCAGUAGGGAAUCUUCCGCAAUGGGCGAAAGCCUGACGGAGCAACGCCGCGUGAGUGAUGAAGGUCUUCGGAUCGUAAAACUCUGUUAUCAGGGAAGAACAAAUGUGUAAGUAACUGUGCACAUCUUGACGGUACCUGAUCAGAAAGCCACGGCUAACUACGUGCCAGCAGCCGCGGUAAUACGUAGGUGGCAAGCGUUAUCCGGAAUUAUUGGGCGUAAAGCGCGCGUAGGCGGUUUUUUAAGUCUGAUGUGAAAGCCCACGGCUCAACCGUGGAGGGUCAUUGGAAACUGGAAAACUUGAGUGCAGAAGAGGAAAGUGGAAUUCCAUGUGUAGCGGUGAAAUGCGCAGAGAUAUGGAGGAACACCAGUGGCGAAGGCGACUUUCUGGUCUGUAACUGACGCUGAUGGUGCGAAAGCGUGGGGAUCAAACAGGAUUAGAUACCCUGGUAGUCCACGCCGUAAACGAUGAGUGCUAAGUGUUAGGGGGUU
This 816-nucleotide ribosomal RNA is filed under the name Staphylococcus sp. MG88. RNAcentral describes it as "bacterial SSU rRNA". It matches the Rfam family "Bacterial small subunit ribosomal RNA", at positions 35 to 832 of the family's 1533-position model. The record is from RNAcentral. Lineage: Bacteria; Bacillati; Bacillota; Bacilli; Caryophanales; Staphylococcaceae.